This 879-nucleotide ribosomal RNA is filed under the name Triticum aestivum (bread wheat). Its description in RNAcentral is "partial small subunit ribosomal RNA". Lineage: Eukaryota; Viridiplantae; Streptophyta; Magnoliopsida; Poales; Poaceae. The record is from RNAcentral.
AUGUAUCAGAAUAUGAAUUUUUUUUGUUGUUUCUUCGUAAACAUCUUCUUGCUUACCAUUAGCAUCUUCUGGAACUUUUCUGGAACGAAUCCACUUUUCCAGGAAGAUGGAACAUUUUGGGAUAAUGUACCCUGGUUUUUCUCGGAAAACCCUAUGGUUCUUUAUGGAUCCUCUUAUGCAUUAUGUUCGAUAUCAAGGAAAGGCAAUUCUUGCAUCAAAAGGCACUUUUUUUUGAAGAAGAAAUGGAAAUGCUACCUUAUCAAUUUCUGGCAAUAUUAUUUCUGUUUUUGGACUCAGCCGCAAAGAAUCCAUAUAAACCAAUUAGCAAACUCUUGCUUCGAUUUUAUGGGGUACCUUUCAAGUGUACAAAAAAGUUCUUUGUUAGUAAGGAAUCAAAUGCUGGAGAAUUCAUUUCUAAUAGAUACUCGAAUGAAAAAAUUCGAUACCAUAGUCCCCGCUACUCUCCUCAUAGGAUACUUAUCAAAAGCUCAAUUUUGUACUGGAUCGGGGCAUCCUAUUAGUAAACCCAUUUGGACAGAUUUAUCAGAUUGGGAUAUUCUUGAUCGAUUUGGUCGGAUAUGUAGAAAUCUUUUUCAUUAUCAUAGUGGAUCUUCGAAAAAACGGACUUUGUAUCGACUAAAGUAUAUACUUCGACUUUCAUGCGCUAGAACUUUAUCUCGGAAACAUAAAAGCACGGUACGAACUUUUAUGCAACGAUUGGGUUCGGCAUUUUUAGAAGAAUUUUUUAUGGAAGAAGAGCAAGUUUUUUCUUUGAUGUUCACCAAAACAACUCUUUUUUCUUUCUGUGGAUCACACACUGAGCGUAUUUGGUAUUUGGAUAUUAUACGUAUCAAUGACCCGGUCAACCCUCUUAAUUAA